GGGCUCACACAAGCGGUGGAGGAUGUUGCUCAAUUCGAAGCAACGCGAAGAACCUUACCUGGGUUUGACAUGCAGGAAUUAACCCCAUGAAAGUGGGGGGAUUGCCUUCGGGUGUAACCUGUACAGGUGUUGCAUGGCUGUCGUCAGCUCGUGCCUUGAGGUGUUGGGUUAAGUCCCCUAACGAGCGAAACCCCUGUCGUUAGUUGCCAUCGGGUCAUGCCGGGCACUCUAGCGAGACUGCCGGUGUCAAACCGGAGGAAGGUGGGGACGACGUCAAGUCAUCAUGGCCCUUAUAUCCAGGGCGGCAAACGUCCUACAAUGGCCCGUACAAAGGGAAGCAAAGCCGCGAGGCGGAGCAAAUCCCAAAAAGCGGGCCCUAGUUCGGAUUGCAGGCUGCAAUUCGCCUGCAUGAAGCUGGAAUCGCUAGUAAUCGCGGAUCAGAACGCCGCGGUGAAUAUGUUCCUGAGCCUU
RNAcentral lists this ribosomal RNA (471 nucleotides) under uncultured bacterium. RNAcentral describes it as "bacterial SSU rRNA". It matches the Rfam family "Bacterial small subunit ribosomal RNA", at positions 917 to 1382 of the family's 1533-position model. The record is from RNAcentral.